RNAcentral lists this ribosomal RNA (181 nucleotides) under uncultured bacterium. Its description in RNAcentral is "partial 16S ribosomal RNA". It matches the Rfam family "Bacterial small subunit ribosomal RNA", at positions 1319 to 1500 of the family's 1533-position model. The record is from RNAcentral.
CAUGAAGUUGGAAUCGCUAGUAAUCGCGGAUCAGCAUGCCGCGGUGAAUACGUUCCCGGGCCUUGUACACACCGCCCGUCACACCAUGAGAGUCGGGAACACCCGAAGUCCGUAGCCUAACCGCAAGGGGGCGCGGCCGAAGGUGGGUUCGAUAAUUGGGGUGAAGUCGUAACAAGGUAAC